CAAACAUGGCACAUUUAUGGUAGAAAGGUUUGGUAGAUGAGAUGUAUAUGUAAAAAUCCCUUCAUUUUAUCAACUUUAGAACAACUAGGCUACAUGAUUAAACCAACAACCAAAUUGGGCCCAAGUCCAAUAGUUGAUACCUUACAAGACUUUAAAUAUUAUUGAGAAAAUAUGUUGGACUUUCAAACAAUAAAUAUUCAAGCCAAACUCUAACUUGAGCUAGAUAUCAAAUGCAACAAAAAUUUCAAACCAGCUAACUCAUUUUUUUUUACACCAAAACAGUAUCAAAAUCUAUGAAAACAAUCAGUCUUUGGCCUUUCGGAGAGUUUACAUUCUCUCAUAGCGGGAGGGCCAAGAUUAACUACAGAAUUAGUCCAACAAACAUGCUAAUCGAGUUUUUCAAGAGGAUUCAAACCAAAUAUUAUGGCCAAGCGUUCAGUUGGGCAACACCAAAGUUUAAAUAUCAUCCCUACUGAACAAAAUUUUACUCAAGUCUUCAGGGCAGUCCUAUGUCAAAUACAUUGUAUAGAAUUCACAUAUUCAAACCAAAUUUCAAUCAAUCUAGAUAACAACAUCAGAUUUCAACAAAAACUAAAAGAGCACAAUUAAAUCGACCCGGCUUGAAACCAUAUUUUUCAUUUCACCCUUUGAUUCAAGCUUUACAUAAGGGCAAAAUACAGAAGUGUACCUGAAAAUUGAAAAGGAAGAAAGGGUAAGGAUCAUUCAAGCAAUAGCACCAGGUGUCUCAGCAACUAAACACAGCUUCAGCCCAGGAAUAAAUAAGGAAUGACCAACUUGGAAACAAUUUCGGACCAGCAACAUCAUUCAAUAAAGUCCAACAACCAAAACACUUGAAUACCAAAUGAGUCAACUCAUUUUAAACUUCAGUUGUUCAGGACUUAUAUCAGAAUGGAGAUUCUUAGGAAUUUCAGAAAAUUUCAAUAGAACGGUAAAAUGUUUUUGUAGUUUUUCAACCGCCUAUGCUUCUCUAUUUUAGCUUCUUCAAAAUCUGACUUCAAUAGCAAGGAAAGGAUGCAUUUAUAGGUAAGAAAGUAGGGCAGUCCUAAGGUUUUGAUUUUUGCCCUUCAACCCUUUUCAAUUUAUGCCUUUUGCUUAAAAGUCCCUAAAAUUCUUACUUGUCUUCCAAGUUAUACUAUCAAAAGACUGAAUUCACAAAGAAACCCCUUGCUAGAAGUUUCCUAGGCAGUUAUACUAAAAUUCUCUAAGUUAGAUUACCUACAUUACCCCUAAUUGCCCUGAAAAUUACCUUAAGAUACCAAAGAGACUUGAGCUCAAAACAGCUGGGCACCUUUGAAUAGGGUCACAAAUGACUCAAAGAACCCAAAGCUGAUUCCAAAUAAAUAUCCAAGAUCCAAAUUCUGACCCAGCCCCAAUAUCAGUUAACGGACGACCUCCAAAAGAAACCACUCAAUUUAACACUUGAAAAAAUGAAUUAAUUCUAUUUAUUUAAAAAGAUUAAACAUAGUUAACUCAAGUCUAUUACUUAUACAGAUUAGAGCAGAAACAAGAGGAAGAAAAAAAAAUCAGAGAUAGCAAAGGAUAUGGAGGAGGAACAACAAAAAAUAAACUCAAAUAAUUGAGGAAGACAAUGGGGAAUAGGCAAAGAAAAUACCUUCAAAGGAAAAUACUUAACAAAACCGAUAAGCCUGAACGGCCCUCCGACCUCCGACGUUCUAUGACUUGAACAAAAUUAGUAUUAUUCGCGUGUUCUCAUCAAGAACAAAUGAGCUUCACCAAAUUAUUUUUCUAGGAAUCUCGAAGACUUGGGGGAUUUUUGUUUUCUUCUACUCUUUUUAGAUUCUAAAACUAGUAUGGUUUUGUUAGGAUUUGAGGAGAUCUGGUGGUGGAUUGGAAAUCAGGUGUGGGUGAUAGUUGUAUGGCAGAGAUUUGGAGUUGUUUGGAAGUUCGCCACCGGAGAAAAUGGUGGAAGUCUCUCACGACGGCGCUGGGGUCGACAAAGGAGAUAGAGAGACAGACAGUGUUUGUGGUUUAGUCUUAGGUUUAAUGUGGGAUAUUCAGACAUAUUAAUGUAAUGGGGGAUACUCUGCCAUAUGAUGAACUAGAUUGGAGGGCUCAGAUUCAUUUGAGGACUGAUCCUCGAGACUACGUCGUUUGGGAUGAGGGCUGACCGGGGUUGGGGGAUU
This 2165-nucleotide long non-coding RNA is filed under the name Nicotiana benthamiana. RNAcentral describes it as "long non-coding RNA (NBEN_LNC002940)". The record is from RNAcentral. Lineage: Eukaryota; Viridiplantae; Streptophyta; Magnoliopsida; Solanales; Solanaceae.